Molecule: long non-coding RNA, 208 nt
Filed under: Homo sapiens (human)
Lineage: Eukaryota; Metazoa; Chordata; Mammalia; Primates; Hominidae
Description: HSALNT0245637
Source: RNAcentral
GGACUAACAGGCGUGAGCCACCGCACCCGGCCAAGCUGGAUCUUAAGCUUGCUUACCGGUGACUUGUUGACCUCAUCUUGGCUCAAAGAAGACACGGCCCCAGGCCCGUGUUGGAGCCACACUGCCCGGGACAGCCCUGAAGCAGCCACGUCCCCACCUUUCAGGAGUCGGCCAAGAGCACGGUGGCUGCAGAAGGCCCUGGCUGAUG